UGAGGAAUAUUGGUCAAUGGACGCAAGUCUGAACCAGCCAAGUAGCGUGCAGGAUGACGGCCCUAUGGGUUGUAAACUGCUUUUAUGCGGGGAUAAGGAGUCCACGUGUGGAUUUUUGCAGGUACCGCAUGAAUAAGGACCGGCUAAUUCCGUGCCAGCAGCCGCGGUAAUACGGAAGGUCCGGGCGUUAUCCGGAUUUAUUGGGUUUAAAGGGAGCGUAGGCCGCGUUUUAAGCGUGUUGUGAAAUGUAGACGCCCAACGUCUGCAUCGCAGCGCGAACUGGGACGCUUGAGUACGCGCAACGUUGGCGGAAUUCGUCGUGUAGCGGUGAAAUGCUUAGAUAUGACGAGGAACUCCGAUUGCGAAGGCAGCUGACGGGAGCGGCACUGACGCUUAAGCUCGAAGGUGCGGGUAUCAAACAGG
RNAcentral lists this ribosomal RNA (423 nucleotides) under Verrucomicrobiota bacterium. RNAcentral's name for it is "Verrucomicrobia bacterium partial 16S ribosomal RNA". It matches the Rfam family "Bacterial small subunit ribosomal RNA", at positions 355 to 776 of the family's 1533-position model. Lineage: Bacteria; Pseudomonadati; Verrucomicrobiota. The record is from RNAcentral.